RNAcentral lists this ribosomal RNA (445 nucleotides) under uncultured bacterium. Its description in RNAcentral is "partial 16S ribosomal RNA". It matches the Rfam family "Bacterial small subunit ribosomal RNA", at positions 354 to 796 of the family's 1533-position model. The record is from RNAcentral.
GUGAGGAAUAUUGGACAAUGGGCGCAAGCCUGAUCCAGCCAUGCCGCGUGCAGGAAGACGCAUCUAUGGUGUGUAAACUGCUUUUGUACGGGAAGAAACACUCCCUCGUGAGGGAGCUUGACGGUACCGUAAGAAUAAGGAUCGGCUAACUCCGUGCCAGCAGCCGCGGUAAUACGGAGGAUCCAAGCGUUAUCCGGAAUCAUUGGGUUUAAAGGGUCCGUAGGCGGUUUAAUAAGUCAGUGGUGAAAGCCCAUCGCUCAACGAUGGAACGGCCAUUGAUACUGUUAGACUUGAAUUACAAGGAAGUAACUAGAAUAUGUAGUGUAGCGGUGAAAUGCUUAGAUAUUACAUGGAAUACCAAUUGCGAAGGCAGGUUACUACUUGUGGAUUGACGCUGAUGGACGAAAGCGUGGGGAUCAAACAGGAUUAGAAACCCCGGUAGUCC